Molecule: unclassified non-coding RNA, 402 nt
Filed under: fungal sp.
Lineage: Eukaryota; Fungi
Description: partial internal transcribed spacer region
Rfam family: Eukaryotic small subunit ribosomal RNA (bases 1-46)
Source: RNAcentral
AAGUCGUAACAAGGUUUCCGUAGGUGAACCUGCGGAAGGAUCAUUAACACGUUAUCCAUACGUUAACCAAAGAGAAUUGUUUUCACCCUCCCUUCACGGAGAAUGAGCGGGGUUCGUAGAGGUGUUGAAAGUGGAUUGUCUCGACAGUCAGCCUCUAUCUACUAUUUUUGUGGGUAUAGAAAUAUAUCUGCUUUGACGCUGUAUCUUUUAGUGGAGAUUCUUCUCACUCAGAGCUCUCCUUUCAUUGAGAAUUGCUGUGAGAUACUUAUUUUAACUUAUUUAACCCCUUUUUGCUAGUUGACUUUUAUAUGUUGUUCUGUGCUGCUUUUUGGCGUACAGUUCACACGUUUAAUUAUUUGAACGUUAAAAUUACAACUCUUAGCAAUGGAUAUCUUGGUUCUC